GAUGAACGCUAGCGGCAGGCUUAAUACAUGCAAGUCGAGGGGCAGCAGCUCUGUAGCAAUACAGAGGCUGGCGACCGGCAAACGGGUGCGGAACACGUACACAACCUUCCUUUAAGUGGGGAAUAGCCCCGGGGAAACCGGACUUAAUACCCCGUAACAUUAUGAAGUGGCAUCACUUUAUUAAUUAUAGCUCAGGCGCUUAAUGAUGGGUGUGCGGCUGAUUAGAUAGNGGUCGGGG
This 238-nucleotide ribosomal RNA is filed under the name uncultured bacterium. RNAcentral's name for it is "partial 16S ribosomal RNA". It matches the Rfam family "Bacterial small subunit ribosomal RNA", at positions 28 to 257 of the family's 1533-position model. The record is from RNAcentral.